Molecule: ribosomal RNA, 480 nt
Filed under: uncultured Geobacillus sp.
Lineage: Bacteria; Bacillati; Bacillota; Bacilli; Caryophanales; Anoxybacillaceae
Description: bacterial SSU rRNA
Rfam family: Bacterial small subunit ribosomal RNA
Source: RNAcentral
GGAAUUGACGGGGCCGCACAAGCGGUGGAGCAUGUGGUUAAUUCGAAGCAACGCGAAGAACCUUACCAGGUCUUGACAUCCCCUGACAACCCAAGAGAUUUGGGCCGUUCCCCCGUUCGGGGGGACAGGGUGACAGGUGGUGCAUGGUUGUCGUCAGCUCGUGUCGUGAGAUGUUGGGUUAAGUCCCGCAACGAGCGCAACCCUCGCCUCUAGUUGCCAGCAUUCGGUUGGGCACUCUAGAGGGACUGCCGGCGACAAGUCGGAGGAAGGUGGGAUGACGUCAAAUCAUCAUGCCCCUUAUGACCUGGGCUACACACGUGCUACAAUGGGCGGUAACAAAGGGCUGCGAACCCGCGGAGGGGGAGCGAAUCCCAAAAAGCCGCUCUCAGUUCGGAUUGCAGGCUGCAACUCGCCUGCAUGAAGCCGGAAUCGCUAGUAAUCGCAGGUCAGCAUACUGCGGUGAAUACGUUCCCGGGCCUU